AAUCCAUGCUUCGAACAUUUCUGAAGCAAUUCCUUUAAUCUUUCCCAAGCUUCAUACAAUGUCCCAUCCUCUGUUUGUUGAAAAGAUGUGUUGUCAGUUCUAAGCUU
Small nucleolar RNA from Gossypium arboreum, 107 nucleotides. It matches the Rfam family "Plant small nucleolar RNA R71". From Rfam's summary of the family: R71 is a member of the C/D box family of snoRNAs containing the C (UGAUGA) and D (CUGA) box motifs. Multiple nearly identical copies of this snoRNA have been identified in Arabidopsis, and it is thought to function as a 2'-O-ribose methylation guide for 18S ribosomal RNA. The record is from Rfam. NCBI's taxonomy places the organism in Eukaryota, Viridiplantae, Streptophyta, Magnoliopsida, Malvales, Malvaceae.